Non-coding RNA from Drosophila virilis, 801 nucleotides. NCBI's taxonomy places the organism in Eukaryota, Metazoa, Arthropoda, Insecta, Diptera, Drosophilidae. The record is from RefSeq and is a predicted model, not a curated record.
GGGGGCGAGCCGGUUAUGAGGUAGGGGUACGAAGCACACACAGCAAGACGAAUCAAGUUCAAGGAGAGUCGAAUUUGUGGGCAACAACAAAUUGGCAGAAAUGUUACUCAAAAAUGAUAUAAACAUGCUUUGUUUAAAGACUGCAAUCUAUAUGUAUAUGAGUGUGUGUGUGUGUGUGUGUGUGUGUGUGUGUGUGUGAUAUACUGUAAAAUAAAACAAUGUUCGAUUAGCACAGACAAAAUCACAAAAACAACUACAAAUGCAGUUCUCAAUAAGCUUUGAUGUGACUCGACCAAAUGGGCAAGGGGAUUUUCGGGUAACUUAAACUGUGAUCAAUCCGAAAUGUGAACAAAAUGCAUACAAUAUGUGGACGGAUAUGCGCAAGUAUACAAGUAGAUAUUGGAUAUGGAUGAAGCCAAAUCAAGUUGAAUUGAAAACCAAAUAAAUAUUUACAUUGAACCCACUGAAAGCUCAACCGGAAUCGAAGGAUAGUUCCUUGUAUGUCACUCAACCGUAACGCAUUGUAUUUUAUCUUGAAGUUAUCUUUUUUCUUCUUUUUCUAGGUAGAUGAUUUUGUAAAACUUUCUAAAUGUUGACUUUAAGUGUACGUUUUGUAUUCGGUUGCUGUAUGCUAUUUAAUUUUUGUUACAUUAUAUAUAUAUAUAUUUUUUUUUGUGGGUUUAUACAUUUCUCGAAAACAGUAAAAUCGCUCCAAAACUUGUUUCUGGUUAGCUACUAAAGUUUGUUGCAUUUGUAAUCCAUAUUUAAGAAUUAUAUUGAUUUACUGAUAUCUCUAUCAUA